Molecule: ribosomal RNA, 37 nt
Filed under: Lepraria pacifica
Lineage: Eukaryota; Fungi; Ascomycota; Lecanoromycetes; Lecanorales; Stereocaulaceae
Description: 25S ribosomal RNA
Source: RNAcentral
GACCUCGGAUCAGGUAGGGAUACCCGCUGGAACUUAA